CCCUGGCUCAGGACGAACGCUGGCGGCGUGCCUAAUACAUGCAAGUCGAGCGGGGUUGUUUUAGAAGCUUGCUUCUAAAACAACCUAGCGGCGGACGGGUGAGUAACACGUAGGCAACCUGCCCAUCAGACUGGGAUAACUACCGGAAACGGUAGCUAAUACCGGAUACAUCCUUUCCCUGCAUGGGGAGGGGAGGAAAGACGGAGCAAUCUGUCACUGAUGGAUGGGCCUGCGGCGCAUUAGCUAGUUGGUGGGGUAAUGGCCUACCAAGGCGACGAUGCGUAGCCGACCUGAGAGGGUGAUCGGCCACACUGGGACUGAGACACGGCCCAGACUCCUACGGGAGGCAGCAGUAGGGAAUCUUCCGCAAUGGGCGAAAGCCUGACGGAGCAACGCCGCGUGAGUGAUGAAGGUUUUCGGAUCGUAAAGCUCUGUUGCCAGGGAAGAACGUCUUGUAGAGUAACUGCUACAAGAGUGACGGUACCUGAGAAGAAAGCCCCGGCUAACU
This 508-nucleotide ribosomal RNA is filed under the name Paenibacillaceae bacterium CL4.87. Its description in RNAcentral is "bacterial SSU rRNA". It matches the Rfam family "Bacterial small subunit ribosomal RNA", at positions 17 to 502 of the family's 1533-position model. The record is from RNAcentral. Lineage: Bacteria; Bacillati; Bacillota; Bacilli; Caryophanales; Paenibacillaceae.